CUACGGGGGGCUCCAGUGGGGAAUAUUGGACAAUGGGGGAAACCCUGAUCCAGCAAUGCCGCGUGUGUGAAGAAGGCCUGCGGGUUGUAAAGCACUUUCGGUUGGGAGGACUGCUUCUAGCACUAAUAUUGUUGGAAGUUGACGUUACCUUCAGAAGAAGCACCGGCGUAACUCCGUGCCAGCAGCCGCGGUAAUACGGAGGGUGCAAGCGUUAAUCGGAAUUACUGGGCGUAAAGCGCGCGUAGGCGGCUAGAUCAGUCGGGUGUGAAAGCCCCGGGCUUAAGCUGGGAACUGCAUCCGAUACUGUCUAGCUUGAGUACAGGAGAGGAGAGUGGAAUUCCACAUGUAGCGGUGACAUGCGUAGAUAUGUGGAGGAACACCAAUGGCGAAGGCAGCUCUCUGGCCUGAUACUGACGCUGAGGUGCGAAAGCGUGGGAAGCAAACAGGAUUAGAUACCCCUGUAGUC
Molecule: ribosomal RNA, 466 nt
Filed under: uncultured bacterium
Lineage: Bacteria
Description: partial 16S ribosomal RNA
Rfam family: Bacterial small subunit ribosomal RNA
Source: RNAcentral